RNAcentral lists this transfer RNA (80 nucleotides) under Trichonephila inaurata madagascariensis. It matches the Rfam family "tRNA". From Rfam's summary of the family: Transfer RNA (tRNA) molecules are approximately 80 nucleotides in length. Their secondary structure includes four short double-helical elements and three loops (D, anti-codon, and T loops). The record is from Rfam by way of RNAcentral. Lineage: Eukaryota; Metazoa; Arthropoda; Arachnida; Araneae; Nephilidae.
GUCCCUGUAGAGCAAUGGAUAGCACGUUACCCGUUGGACUUCUAAUCCAAAGGUCAUGGGUUCAAAUCCCUCCUGGGAUG